UGGUGGAAAAGGUCUUCACUAUGAGUAUCAC
This 31-nucleotide non-coding RNA is filed under the name Macaca fascicularis (crab-eating macaque). RNAcentral also lists the same sequence under 1 other name. The record is from RNAcentral. Lineage: Eukaryota; Metazoa; Chordata; Mammalia; Primates; Cercopithecidae.